UACGGAGGAUCCGAGCGUUAUCCGGAUUUAUUGGGUGUAAAGCGUGCGCAGGCGGACUGGUAAGUCAGCUGUGAAAGUUUACGGCUCAACCGGGAAAUUGCAGUGGAUACUGUUGGUCUUGAGUAUAGAUGAGGUGGGCGGAAUUUGUGGUGUAGCGGUGAAAUGCGUAGAUAUCUGGAAGAACUCCAAUGGCGAAGGCAGCUCACUGGGCUAUAACUGACGCUGAUGCACGAAAGUGUGGGGAUCAAACAGG
This 253-nucleotide ribosomal RNA is filed under the name uncultured bacterium. RNAcentral describes it as "partial 16S ribosomal RNA". It matches the Rfam family "Bacterial small subunit ribosomal RNA", at positions 524 to 776 of the family's 1533-position model. The record is from RNAcentral.